Peromyscus maniculatus bairdii (prairie deer mouse) is the source of this 114-nucleotide small nucleolar RNA. Lineage: Eukaryota; Metazoa; Chordata; Mammalia; Rodentia; Cricetidae. The record is from Ensembl.
UUGAUUGAUGGCUCAGCGGUUAAGAGCACACCCACACUAGGAUGCAAAAGAAAAUGCUCCCUGCGCUUCCUGCCUGUCUUUGUGGCAGUCCAGAUUGAACUGGGGAGUGCAUGU